This 265-nucleotide long non-coding RNA is filed under the name Brassica napus (rape). RNAcentral's name for it is "long non-coding RNA (BNAP_LNC022421)". Lineage: Eukaryota; Viridiplantae; Streptophyta; Magnoliopsida; Brassicales; Brassicaceae. The record is from RNAcentral.
GGAAAUAAGGAGACAAGAUCAAAGGUUUAAGCAACAAGAUCAAAGAGAUGAUUAGGAAACCCUAGAUCUAGCCGCUUCUGUGUGUGUUGUCCAAAAGUCCCCCUUUUCGUUGUCUCCUCAUCCCCUCUUAUAGUGUAACCGUCCAUGAUGCCCUAAUCGUGUCGUCCUUUGGGCCCUGUCGUUAAAGACCGAGUAUGCGGGUCUUGGUACUGUUCUCUAUAAGCCGAGCGUCUUAGCUGAUCGGCUAAAAGUACUCUGGGAUCGA